CUACGGAGGAUGCGAGCGUUAUCCGGAUUUAUUGGGUUUAAAGGGUGCGUAGGUGGUUAAUUAAGUCAGCGGUGAAAGUUUGUGGCUCAACCAUAAAAUUGCCGUUGAAACUGGUUGACUUGAGUAUAUUUGAGGUAGGCGGAAUGCGUGGUGUAGCGGUGAAAUGCAUAGAUAUCACGCAGAACUCCGAUUGCGAAGGCAGCUUACUAAACUAUAACUGACACUGAAGCACGAAAGCGUGGGGAUCAAACAGGAUUAGAUACCCUGGUAGUCCACGCAGUAAACGAUGAUUACUAGCUGUUUGCGAUACACAGUAAGCGGCACAGCGAAAGCGUUAAGUAAUCCACCUGGGGAGUACGCCGGCAACGGUGAAACUCAAAUGAAUUGACGGGG
Molecule: ribosomal RNA, 393 nt
Filed under: uncultured bacterium
Lineage: Bacteria
Description: partial 16S ribosomal RNA
Rfam family: Bacterial small subunit ribosomal RNA
Source: RNAcentral